CCUCGUGAUCUGCCCGCCUCGGCCUCCCACAGUGCUAGAAUUACAGGCAUGAGCCACCACACCCAGCCGAGGGCAGGAAUUUUAUGCAUUUUGCUCAUGGCUUGAUUCCUAGGGCUUAGUGUAUUCUCAAUGAAUAUUGAUUGAAUUAAUGUAUAAAUCAAUAUUCUACAACCAAAUUCCCUAAUAUUCUUAGGGAAUUUACCCAUAAAUUACCCAUAGUAUCUCUCAUAUGCCCACUAACGUCCACAGAAGAGACUAAAAAUGUGUUCCAAUGAACUAUCUGAUAGGUUGCUAAAUAUUUUAUGGAUUAUUUUGAAGUUUAGUUUUCUGAGAUUGCAAAUUUAAAAAUUUUUAGGCUUUAAUCUUUGAAUCACAAAUUAUUCUAACAUAAUGUACCUUAUCUAGGAAAGGAAGAAAAUGUUGUUUGUUUUUACUUUCUUUUUAUAUAAAAGCUGCAUAUAUAAACCUAAAUUUCUUGUUGGUUCCUUAAUAAAAUUGUGUCUCUCUGGGGUGAUAACAGAUAGGUCUCAAAAUACAUAGCAAAUUAUAGGCCAUCAGCGAAAGCCUCUCUUUAAAGCUUUACUUGAACAAAUAAUGGGUAAAAGGAUACGUUCUCCAGAUGAAUAUGAUAGAUCACAGUGCUUUGGUUAACUGACUUUAUAACUUUGGAGAGACAGAUCUGGUUGGCUAGAAACACUAAUAGAUAGGAACAUAAUUAUCACAUAAAACCUAUAAAACUCAAAAUGAGUUGAUCUUAAUAUUGCUGUCCCUCCAUGGCCAGUAAGCAAACCUCCAUUUUACCAGAGGAAUACAGAAUAAAGCCAUCUGGAUUAUUGGAGAAAAGAGCAUUCAAAUGACUUAGAUUAACCCAAGCCUUAUUUUCUGAGGGAAUAGCUCCAACCAUCCAGCUAAAAAGGAUGUCAAUUUAGAACUCAGUUUGAUGUAAAGGGAUAGAAAAGAUUAAGAUAAUUAAUUGGCAUCUGACCAUGUUUAAAGAGUGGGAAGGUUUAGGAUGGAAAACAAUCUCAGUAAAUUGCAUUAUAAUUAUAAGAAGAAAACAGGGUCUAUCUCAUCGCCUGCAGGGAGCCAGAAAUAGAGUCAGUGUAACUUUAUGAAGUGCUCAGAGUCUGCAAAACAUGAUUGCUGUUGCCAUCAGUUGAGAAAAAAGUGAUAUAUCAAGGAAGACUAUAAAUCUAAUUUGUUAGACUAGAUACCCAUAAUAAAUGUAAAGCUAUAUAUUUGUCUCCUUAAAAAAAAGUCUCUCUGAUAGACUGUUUGCAAAAAAUAGCCAGACUUUCAAUUUCUGUACCCAAGCCCUUUUACAACUUGAGUUUGCACGUUCUCCCAUCAAGAAUGCCUAUUUAUCCGCCAAUUGAAUGUGGAAUAUCUAUGUCUUGAUUUGUCUAAAAGAAUGAGUCAGAUGUGACAUCAUGCCAGUCGACCUCACAAGGGCAUGCAAACUUCUACUUGUUCUGUUCGAUCCUCACUGUGCUAUGAGAACAAGACUUUCUGGAGUUGACGAUGAGAGACUUUUAUCAGAGUCCAGUUUUCCCAGUCAAGGCUUUGAAUAAGUGAGGACACUCAGCCAGCACCAAAACAAAACAAAACAAAACAGUAUGAGCUGAUCCGCAGGUGACAACUGAUAUGUCGGGAGCAUUGAGCUCCACAGAUAAUAAUGUAUACCAGCUCAGGCCAAAAUAACUGCCCAGUUGACCUGCAGACUGUGAGCUAAGAAACAGUUACAGUAUUAAACCAGAUUAUGGCCUCCAGUUCCAUCCAUGUUGCUGCAGAAGCUAUAAUUUUAUUCUUUUGAAUGCUUUAAGCGUUCCAAAUCAUUGAAUUACUGAGAAGAUUAAAUGAGGGUAAAACAAUCCUUGAUACAUACCAACCAUCCAAUAAGAUUUGGCUGCAAUCACUACUUGUCAUCAUCAGUGACUGUAACAGAAGCAUGAAGACCAUAGCAAAGAGUCUGGAUACAGUGAAACAAGAAAUCGAGAGCCUUGUUAUUUCCUGCCUAAGUUCUUUCUGGCUGUAAGUCUCUGAUGUUGGCAAGUGACAGACCCCUAUGGCCAAUGAAUCACAACUUAAAUGAGUACCAAGUUCCCAGCUGAUAUGUGAAAAGGAGCUCAGUGAGAGGUACUUAUGUCCUUUGUGUACUUAAAAUAUUGCCCUUAAUGAAUAAGUCCGUGUGUUCAUUUUUAUUACAAAAGUAGCAGACCUAUCUUACUUUCAAUAUUACAAGGACAAUGCUUGCAAAGAUGAACAAAGGACGUUUAAAGAUACAGGGUCUGAAAGCUUCCGAAAGCCACAUAGUGAGAGAUAUUAAAACAAGUUGAGAGAAUUUGAUGUCAAAGGCAAGAUCAUAUCUGAAGCAUUUCUCAACACUGUAUAAAAUGCAAAAACAAAGAGAAACAAAACUCCUUGGAGAAGUUUCUGCUCAAUACGCAAGCCACCGACCCUUAGCGAAUGUUCCCAAUAGCAAUCAAUGAGCCCCUAACAAGAGCUGGAAGGACUGGGGCAGUAGGAACAACACAGACCAUUUGCUCUGAUUCAACGAUUUUUAUGAGCACCAUUAAGUGAAAAUGGGCAAGUAACUCUGUGGCUCAGGGCAAAGCCCCCACAGCGAUGUGAUGAAAAAUCUUGGCAAGAACCCAUGAAAGAGAACCCUUCAAAUCAAAUCAAACAAAUGCGGAUCUACUAGGAGGAAGGGCCUUGUUUUUCAUUUAAAAUAAUCUUUUAAAGAGUAGACAAUAAUCCAAACACCUCUGGGUUACUAUAUCUUCUAGGAGAAUACUGAUUUUGAUAAAAAUAUUUAAAUCAAAAAUUUUAGGUAAUUUUACCUUCAAAUAGCUUAGGCACCUUAGACCAAAGUUUGCACAUUCUACAAAUAUUGACACAAUAACACCAUUUUAAAUCUUUACCCACCAUUUGUUGGGUUAUGUCAAAUGUAACUCAGGAUAAAAAGUUGUUCAGAUAAGUGAUUGGUACAAUUGGAAUUUAUAGAUUAAAAAUUUGUUACAAGGAAUUAAAAGUUUUUCUUACCUAACCUCUCAAUAAUUUUCCAAAGAAAAUGUGUGAUGUGUCCCUUGCUCUGCCCUUCACUCUAGUGUUUUAUUUUGCAUCAUGGAUGCAUUUCUUUUAAUUUUCUUCAUAUAACUCUUCACAUGUACUCUUGAGAUUGCAUAUUGCUUCAACAAUCCUUGCCCAGCCACUAACUUCUUUCUUAAAAUAAUUUUCCUGCCCCCCUUCCUUCAACAGUAAUCAAUGUCUACCACCGCCUCUAUUAAUUCUGCCACUGAUUUUGUGAUAACUCUUCACAAAUACUGAAUGAUGUAACUUGAAGGCAGUUUUUGUUGUCUGAAUCUGCUUGAUGCCAGCUUAUGGUUGGCUAUAAUGCUCAGAAAUAGAAGCAAUGAUUAGACAAUACAAAGAGAUACUAGUUUAAUGUAAGGAAGAAUAUUUUCAUCCUUAUCACUUACUGUAUUUACUUUAUAUUCCACAUUACAAGGAGCCACUUCAACAUGAACACCAAGCCAUCUUAAGUUUAUUAAGAUCCUAAUAAUGUUUAAGCAUUGGUUAUGUGAAUAUAGAAUGAUGAUCCCACUUUGGAUUUUACAUUCAAGUAUAAGAAAUAUCUAUUAAUCAACUUCUUUCAGGAGUGUUACAGAUGGUAGAGUCUGUUUCAACUUUGGGUGCAGGGCUUAACACAUUCUUUAACACAAUAAAUCAACAUUACUGAGAAACAAAGUAAUUAUAAGAACUCUUCUAAUUCUAGGAAUCAAUGAUUUUAUAUCAAUCAUAUGGAAAGAGGUAAAAGUGCAUGCUUCAUGUUAUGUUACUUUCUUUUGCUUGAGAAUGCUAAAUUUGUAAAACUAUAUAAUAUGACAUACUUGUGACUGAAUUGUAAGAGAUUUUAUCUAAUAUUGCUUUAGAAUACAGAAGUAAUUGUUUCAAAGGAUAAAGGAUGGAAGAUUCUGAUAAAGCUUGCUUACUUUUUGGGGGAAGGCGUGGGGGGAAAUGUCUCAGUGCCCAAGGUCAGUGGCCUUCCUGACUGAAGACUUUCCCAGAGUAGAGGAUAAGAGUGGGAACAGGAAGAGCAGUUUAAAGUCAUCUUCACAACAUUCUGGUGAGUGACUGAUUGCUUCAGCAGCAAACAGGCACAUGGUAAAAAUAUUGGUAAUGUGAAUUUAGUGUUGUUACUGUCAUUUUUUUCUUUAUUAACUAUGAUUUUGCUUACAGAUAGCAGUCAGAGUAGUAGUAUAUUGAUAAUAAUGAACCUCUUAGGGUUGCUGGUUUGGUGUUUCAAAGUUUUUCAGUUAUCCAUAUUAAACUUUUAAAGAUA
This 4342-nucleotide long non-coding RNA is filed under the name Homo sapiens (human). RNAcentral describes it as "HSALNT0386498". The record is from RNAcentral. Lineage: Eukaryota; Metazoa; Chordata; Mammalia; Primates; Hominidae.